Mytilus californianus (California mussel) is the source of this 317-nucleotide long non-coding RNA. RefSeq lists it as uncharacterized. The record is from RefSeq and is a predicted model, not a curated record. Lineage: Eukaryota; Metazoa; Mollusca; Bivalvia; Mytilida; Mytilidae. The transcript is spliced from 3 exons.
GUGUUUCAGAAGUGACAACAGCUUUACAAAUGGACCUUUUUCGGGAUCCCGUUGGCUAUAUCUUUGUAUGAAAUUAACAAAAGUAACCGCCGAUUUAUAUUACUUUUACCUUUUGUCAGAUAUUUUCGACGACGUAAAUCCGCACGAGAGAGUGUUCGCGUCAGCAGAUGGAAACCCACCAAAUGAUAAUGAUCCAGUGUGUAGUACAUUCUGUCAAUAUACUGACUCACCGAACAUUCGCACAUUAAGAAGACAAGGCACCAAUGACGCUUUGCCAAAUGAUGCUUUCUUGUGUGAACCCUGUGAUGGUUCAUGUG